GGGGUAACAUUAAAGUAUUAGAACAUGAAGGAUAAACAAUAAAGCAUCAAGACACUAUCAAACAUGUAUCCGUCUUUCCGCAACAGAGCCAUCCUUAUGUGUGAGGGUGCGUGUGCAUGAUAGUGAUAUAAAAUAUGUCAUAGCUUCCUUUUUCAUGAUCACAAUCUAGUGAAGCCUGAACCCUCCAAGAUCUCCCCACAGUUCCCCAAUAGCUGUCCCUCAACCCUCCAAGAUCUCCCCACAGUUCCCCAAUAGCUGUCCCUCAACCCUCCAAGAUCCCCCCACACUGUCCCUCAACCCUCCAAGAUCCCCCACAGUUCCCCAAUAGCUGUCCCUCAACCCUCCAAGAUCCCCCCACAGUUCCCCAAUAGCUGUCCCUCAACCCUCCAAGACCCCCCCACAGUUCCCCAAUAGCUGUCCCUCAACCCUCCAAGAUCCCCCCACAGUUCCCCAAUAGCUGUCCCUCAACCCUCCAAGAUCCCCCCACAGUUCCCCAAUAGCUGUCCCUCAACCCUCCAAGAUCCCCCCACAGUUCCCCAAUAGCUGUCCCUCAACCAUUCGAAAAAAGGAAAAGACAGAAGAAAACAGAAAACAAUGCAAAAAAAAUAAAACAACAUAAUAAAUUUAAAACAAAGGACAUCAAGGACAACUGAAAUCAUAACAGCAAUGCCUACUUUAUAUGUUUGUGUGCAUGUCUGGCACUAUUACAUGUAUGUGUGUGUUCUUGUAUGUGUUUAUUUGAAUGAGAGUGUGUGUACAAACACCUGCAUCACAUCAGCCUCAGGCAAACCGGCAUUAGUUGUAAAAACACUGCCACUUAGUGUCAUUCAAAUGUACUUUUUUUCUCCUUUAUCUUUUGAGCAUCAUUCUCACUCUCACACAGCAACUCCACUCCCACUUGUCUCCAAUUCCACAUACCAACCCUCAGCCCAUCCCAUCUAUCUCUGCUGGCCACCCACUUCGUGUUUCUAUGCAACGCAUAUCUUUCAACUAUGCUAUGAUGUUUAACGUACAAUUUCAAUCUAUCUAAUUGAAUAGAAUCUACAGAUUGCGUGUUGAAGAUAAAUACUUUUACUAAGAGUAUUAGUAUAUUAGUAAAUGACUGACCCGGUCUCUCCAGAUUCAGACCCUUUGACUUUUUCCACAUUUUGUUACAUUACAGCCUUGUUCUAAAAUGGAUUCCCC
RNAcentral lists this long non-coding RNA (1185 nucleotides) under Salmo salar (Atlantic salmon). RNAcentral describes it as "lncRNA (ENSSSAG00000097111.1)". The record is from RNAcentral. Lineage: Eukaryota; Metazoa; Chordata; Actinopteri; Salmoniformes; Salmonidae.